Small nuclear RNA from Hippopotamus amphibius kiboko, 103 nucleotides. The record is from RefSeq and is a predicted model, not a curated record. NCBI's taxonomy places the organism in Eukaryota, Metazoa, Chordata, Mammalia, Artiodactyla, Hippopotamidae.
GUGCUGCUUUGGCAGCACAUAUACUAAAAUCAGAAUGAUACAGAGAAGUUUAACAUGGCCCUGCAUAAGGAUGACACAAAUUCGUGAUGCAGUCCAUAUUUUU